RNA transcript from Belonocnema kinseyi, 1816 nucleotides. It is a transcript of the gene named ubiquinone biosynthesis monooxygenase COQ6, mitochondrial, with no coding region annotated. The record is from RefSeq and is a predicted model, not a curated record. NCBI's taxonomy places the organism in Eukaryota, Metazoa, Arthropoda, Insecta, Hymenoptera, Cynipidae. The transcript is spliced from 9 exons.
AUAUACAGAAUAAAAAUGGCGGUGUUCAGUGAAGCGAUGUCAUCGUCUCGUUGUGUUUUUACAUAUUUUUCGCGAAAUUAUAAGCACACUGUACUUCAUCCUUGUACGAUUGUAAGGAAUGCACAUUCGGCUAUAAGUGAUAAUUGUGAAAAUUAUGAUAUUAUCGUGACUGGAGGUGGUCUCGUUGGAACAACUCUCGCUUGUGCUUUAGCUAAUAACAAAACUCUUGAAUCCAAGAGCGUCCUUUUGUUGGAGGGUGGUAAUAAACAUAAAUAUGAACCGAGCGAACGGUAUUCCAAUCGGGUCGUUGCGUUAAAUCAGCAAUCUCGAACAUUGUUAUCGAGUAUUGGUGCAUGGCGUCAUGUAGAAGAAGUACGAUAUACGCCUGUGAGAAAAAUGCAGGUGUGGGAUGCCUGUUCCGACGCAAUGAUAACAUUUAACGAGGAUUAUUUGAACAACGAAAUAGCUUACAUAGUUGAAAACGAUUUGCUUCUUCACGCGGUGGACAAGCAACUAUCAGAAAAAGAUUCCGUAAAAGUCGUCUACAAUGCGAAAGUUGAAAAUAUUUCAUUACCUGAAACACCAGGGGAAAAUUCAGCAGUCAUUUUGCAAAAUGGAGGCAACUUUGAAUCAAAACUGUUGAUUGGUGCCGACGGAAUUAAUUCACGAGUACGACAAGCGAUGGGCGUUCAGCAUGUAAAAUGGAACUACGAUCAAAUGGGAAUUGUUGGUACUGUUGAACUAUCCGAGCCAACAGAAAAUAUUGUAGCGUGGCAACGAUUUCUUCCCACCGGACCUGUGGCUCUAUUGCCGUUGACUGAUACAUUAAGUUCCCUUGUCUGGUCAACGACAACAGUCGAAGCGAAAAAACUUCUAAAAAUGUCCGACGAAGACUUUGUCGAUAGGCUGAACGACGCUCUUUGGAAAGUCUAUCCAAAAGAUGGUUUCGUCGAAAGUGGAAUGAAGGCCCUUCAGCAAAUUCUGGAGACUCUUUCCUUGCAAACUGGAGUUUCUAGACAAUUGCAGCCGUCCAUUUCUGGCGUUGUUGAAAAUUCUCGAGCAGCAUUCCCCCUGGGUUUCGGCCAUUCUGUUUAUUAUGCUAAACCAGGAGUUGCAUUGGUGGGAGAUGCGGCCCAUAGAGUUCAUCCCUUAGGAGGUCAAGGUCUAAAUUUAGGUCUGGGCGACGUUACCGUCUUAGUUAAAAUGUUAGCCGAAUCAGUCAGAAAUGGAGCCACCCUCGGCGAUAUGAGUUAUUUAAAAAAAUACGAAACUUCAAGACAGAGGCACAAUGUUCCAACCAUGCUAGCAAUGGAUGCACUUCAUAGAUUAUACAAGGGAACUGCUGCUCCGAUUGUUCUCGCUAGAAGUUUAGGACUUCAGCUUACAAAUGCAAUCUCACCCUUGAAGUCGUUCUGAUCAGUUCUAACGGAAGAUUCCGUUUACCAUCUGCAAAUCAGAAAUCCACUGUACCGACCCAAUUGACUAAUCAAAUUCUAGAAAUAUUUUAACGUCAUUUAGAGGGCUAUGGUUCAUCAUGCCUCUGAUGAUGACAAUAAUAUCUGUCAAUAAAAAUGGAUCCCUGAAUUAGGUAUCAGUACCACAACAGUUUUGAUAUAUUUAUUGCUGUACGAGAAAGUCUCAGUAUGAAUUACAAUUUAUAUGUAAAGAUAGUUUAGAUAUUUCAUAUUGAUAACCGCCAGAAACAUAUGCAAUGUAAUUUUAUUUAAUGUAUAUAAAUUAUUUAUAAAUUUCGAUAUUUUUAGGAUAUAGAAAGUGAAUUUGGCCUUCGAAAUAAAGCACUACUAUUUAAUAGUUA